UACAGAGGGGGCAAGCGUUGUUCGGAAUUACUGGGCGUAAAGGGCGCGUAGGCGGCCUGCUAAGUCGAACGUGAAAUCCCUGGGCUCAACCCAGGAACUGCGUCCGAUACUGGUUGGCUUGAAUCCGGGAGAGGGACGUGGAAUUCCAGGUGUAGCGGUGAAAUGCGUAGAUAUCUGGAGGAACACCGGUGGCGAAGGCGGCUCACUGGACCGGUAUUGACGCUGAGGUGCGAAAGCGUGGGGAGCAAACAGG
Molecule: ribosomal RNA, 253 nt
Filed under: uncultured bacterium
Lineage: Bacteria
Description: partial 16S ribosomal RNA
Rfam family: Bacterial small subunit ribosomal RNA
Source: RNAcentral